This 73-nucleotide transfer RNA is filed under the name Camelus bactrianus (Bactrian camel). It matches the Rfam family "tRNA". From Rfam's summary of the family: Transfer RNA (tRNA) molecules are approximately 80 nucleotides in length. Their secondary structure includes four short double-helical elements and three loops (D, anti-codon, and T loops). RNAcentral also lists the same sequence under 2 other names. Lineage: Eukaryota; Metazoa; Chordata; Mammalia; Artiodactyla; Camelidae. The record is from Rfam by way of RNAcentral.
GGAGGGUCCAGCUCAGUGGCAGAGCAUGUGCUUAGUGUGCACAAGGUCCUGGGUUCUACCCCCCGUCCCUCCA